ACCCCAUGGAGCUUUAAACCCAACAACACCUAUCUAUUUUAUUCCCCCAUAUUUAUACGGUUAUGUUUGUUUGGUUUUAGGUUGGGGUGACCGCGGAGUAUAAAACAACCUCCACGAAGAAAAGACUAAUAAUCUUUAUCAGAGAAAGACAUUUCUAAGAAAUAAUAUAUUAACUUUAAAUGAUCCGAUAUUCGAUUAACGAAUCAAGUUACCCUGGGGAUAACAGCGCAAUCCACCUUAAGAGCCCUUAUCGACAGGUGGGUUUACGACCUCGAUGUUGGAUCAGGGUAUCACAGUGGUGCAGCAGCUACUAAUGGUUCGUUUGUUCAACGAUUAAAACCCU
RNAcentral lists this ribosomal RNA (343 nucleotides) under Boophis luciae. RNAcentral describes it as "partial 16S ribosomal RNA". It matches the Rfam family "Bacterial large subunit ribosomal RNA", at positions 2088 to 2597 of the family's 2925-position model. Lineage: Eukaryota; Metazoa; Chordata; Amphibia; Anura; Mantellidae. The record is from RNAcentral.